CCUACGGGUGGCAGCAGUGAGGAAUAUUGGUCAAUGGGCGCGAGCCUGAACCAGCCAAGUAGCGUGAAGGAUGACUGCCCUACGGGUUGUAAACUUCUUUUAUAAAGGAAUAAAGUGAGGCACGUGUGCCUUUUUUGAUGUACUUUCUGAAUAAGGAUCGGCUAACGCUGUGCCAGCAGCCGCGGUAAUCCGGAGGAUCCGAGCGUUAUCCGGAUUUAUUGGGUUUAAGGGGAGCGUAGAUGGGUUGUUAAGUCAGUUGUGAAAGUUUGCGGCUCAACCGUAAAAUUGCAAUUGAUAAUGGGAGUCUUGAGUACAGGUGAGGUAGGCGGAAUUCGUGGUGUAGCAGUGAAAUGCUUAGAUAUCACGAAGAACUCCGAUUGCGAAGGCAGCUUACUAAACUGCCACUGACAUUGAUGCUCGAAAGUGUGGGUAUCAAACAGGAUUAGAUACCCCGGUAGUC
Molecule: ribosomal RNA, 460 nt
Filed under: uncultured bacterium
Lineage: Bacteria
Description: partial 16S ribosomal RNA
Rfam family: Bacterial small subunit ribosomal RNA
Source: RNAcentral